RNAcentral lists this ribosomal RNA (564 nucleotides) under uncultured archaeon. RNAcentral describes it as "bacterial SSU rRNA". It matches the Rfam family "Bacterial small subunit ribosomal RNA", at positions 395 to 950 of the family's 1533-position model. The record is from RNAcentral.
UGCCGCGUGCAUGACGAAGGCCCUCGGGCUUGUCAGUGCUUUUGUACUGAGAGCGAAAAGCUUGGGCUAAUAUCCCGAGGUCAUGACUCGCCCGUGAGAAUAAGCACCGGCUAACUACGUGCCAGCAGCCGCGGUAAUACGUAGGGUGCAAGCGUUAAUCGGAAUUACUGGGCGUAAAGCGUGCGCAGGCGGUCUUGUAAGACAGAGGUGAAAUCCCCGGGCUCGACCUGGGAACUGCCUUUGUGACUGCAAGGCUGGAGUGCGGCAGAGGGGGAUGGAAUUCCGCGUGUAGCAGUGAAAUGCGUAGAUAUGCGGAGGAACACCGAUGGCGAAGGCAAUCCCCUGGGCCUGCACUGACGCUCAUGCACGAAAGCGUGGGGAGCAAACAGGAUUAGAUACCCUGGUAGUCCACGCCCUAAACGAUGUCAACUGGUUGUAGGGUCUUCACUUGACUCAGUAACGAAGCUAACGCGUGAAGUUGACCGCCUGGGGAGUACGGNCGCAAGGUUGAAACUCAAAGGAAUUGACGGGGACCCGGACAAGCGGUGGAUGAUGUGGGUUUAA